RNAcentral lists this ribosomal RNA (586 nucleotides) under Hansenula anomala. RNAcentral's name for it is "eukaryotic LSU rRNA". It matches the Rfam family "Eukaryotic large subunit ribosomal RNA", at positions 53 to 652 of the family's 3401-position model. Lineage: Eukaryota; Fungi; Ascomycota; Saccharomycetes; Phaffomycetales; Wickerhamomycetaceae. The record is from RNAcentral.
GAGGAAAAGAAACCAACAGGGAUUGCCUCAGUAACGGCGAGUGAAGCGGCAAAAGCUCAAAUUUGAAAUCUAGCACCUUCGGUGUUCGAGUUGUAAUUUGAAGAUGGUAACCUUGGGUUUGGCUCUUGUCUAUGUUCCUUGGAACAGGACGUCAUAGAGGGUGAGAAUCCCGUCUGAUGAGAUGCCCAUUCCUAUGUAAGGUGCUAUCGAAGAGUCGAGUUGUUUGGGAAUGCAGCUCUAAGUGGGUGGUAAAUUCCAUCUAAAGCUAAAUAUUGGCGAGAGACCGAUAGCGAACAAGUACAGUGAUGGAAAGAUGAAAAGAACUUUGAAAAGAGAGUGAAAAAGUACGUGAAAUUGUUGAAAGGGAAGGGCAUUAGAUCAGACUUGGUGUUUUACGAUUAUCUUCUCUUCUUGAGUUGUGCACUCGUAUUUCACUGGGCCAGCAUCGAUUCGGAUGGCAAGAUAAUGGCAGUUGAAUGUGGCUUCACUUCGGUGGAGUGUUAUAGCUUCUGCUGAUAUUGCCUGUCUGGAUCGAGGGCUGCGUCUUUUGACUAGGAUGCUGGCGUAAUGAUCUAAUGCCGCCCGU